UACGUAGGGUGCGAGCGUUGUCCGGAAUUAUUGGGCGGUAAAGGGCUCGUAGGCGGUUUGUCGCGUCGGGGAGUGAAAACUCAGGGCUUAACCCUGAGCCUGCUUCCGAUACGGGCAGACUUAGAGUGCGGUAGGGGUGACUGGAAAUUCCUGGUGUAGCGGUGGAAUGACGCAGAUAUCAGGAGGAACACCGAUGGCGAAGGCAGGUCACUGGGCCGCAACUGA
This 225-nucleotide ribosomal RNA is filed under the name uncultured bacterium. RNAcentral describes it as "partial 16S ribosomal RNA". It matches the Rfam family "Bacterial small subunit ribosomal RNA", at positions 524 to 743 of the family's 1533-position model. The record is from RNAcentral.